This 380-nucleotide ribosomal RNA is filed under the name uncultured organism. RNAcentral's name for it is "partial 16S ribosomal RNA". It matches the Rfam family "Bacterial small subunit ribosomal RNA", at positions 527 to 896 of the family's 1533-position model. The record is from RNAcentral.
GUAGGUGGCAAGCGUUGUCCGGAAUUAUUGGGCGUAAAGCGCGCGCAGGUGGUUCUUUAAGUCUGAUGUGAAAGACCCCCCCGGGCUCAACCCGGGGGAGGGUCAUUGGAAACUGGGGAACUUGAGUGCAGGAGAGGAAAGUGGAAUUCCACGUGUAGCGGUGAAAUGCGUAGAUAUGUGGAGGAACACCAGUGGCGAAGGCGACUUUCUGGCCUGUAACUGACACUGAGGCGCGAGAGCGUGGGGAGCAAACAGGAUUAGAUACCCUGGUAGUCCACGCCGUAAACGAUGAGUGCUAAGUGUUCGGGGGGGUUUCCGCCCCUCAGUGCUGCAGCUAACGCAUUAAGCACUCCGCCUGGGGAGUACGGUCGCAAAGACUG